This 253-nucleotide ribosomal RNA is filed under the name uncultured bacterium. RNAcentral describes it as "partial 16S ribosomal RNA". It matches the Rfam family "Bacterial small subunit ribosomal RNA", at positions 524 to 776 of the family's 1533-position model. The record is from RNAcentral.
UACGAAGGGUGCAAACGUUGCUCGGAAUCAUUGGGCGUAAAGCGCACGUAGGCGGCUUUGCAAGUCGGAUGUGAAAUCCCGUGGCUCAACCAUGGACGUGCAUUCGAAACUGCGAAGCUUGAGUAUGGAAGAGGGUCGCGGAAUUCCCGGUGUAGAGGUGAAAUUCGUAGAUAUCGGGAGGAACACCAGUGGCGAAGGCGGCGACCUGGGCCAAUACUAACGCUGAGGUGCGAAAGCGUGGGGAGCAAACAGG